Molecule: ribosomal RNA, 492 nt
Filed under: uncultured bacterium
Lineage: Bacteria
Description: partial 16S ribosomal RNA
Rfam family: Bacterial small subunit ribosomal RNA
Source: RNAcentral
AGUGAACGCUGGCGGUAGGCCUAACACAUGCAAGUCGAACGGCAGCACAGUAAGAGCUUGCUCUUACGGGUGGCGAGUGGCGGACGGGUGAGGAAUACAUCGGAAUCUACUUUUUCGUGGGGGAUAACGUAGGGAAACUUACGCUAAUACCGCAUACGACCUACGGGUGAAAGCAGGGGAUCUUCUGACCUUGCGCGAUUGAAUGAGCCGAUGUCGGAUUAGCUAGUUGGCGGGGUAAAGGCCCACCAAGGCGACGAUCCGUAGCUGGUCUGAGAGGAGGGUCAGCCACACUGGAACUGAGACACGGUCCAGACUACUACGGGAGGCAGCAGUGGGGAAUAUUGGACAAAGGGCGCAAGCCUGAUCCAGCCAGACCGCGUGGGUGAAGAAGGCCUUCGGGUUGUAAAGCCCUUUUGUUGGGAAAGAAAAGCAGCAGGUUAAUACCCCGCUGUUCUGACGGUACCCAAAGAAUAAGCACCGGCUAACUUCGUG